UGGGGAAUAUUGCGCAAUGGGGGGAACCCUGACGCAGCCAUGCCGCGUGAAUGAAGAAGGCCUUCGGGUUGUAAAGUUCUUUCGGUAUUGAGGAAGGUUGAUGUGUUAAUAGCACAUCAAAUUGACGUUAAAUACAGAAGAAGCACCGGCUAACUCCGUGCCAGCAGCCGCGGUAAUACGGAGGGUGCGAGCGUUAAUCGGAAUAACUGGGCGUAAAGGGCACGCAGGCGGUUAUUUAAGUGAGGUGUGAAAGCCCCGGGCUUAACCUGGGAAUUGCAUUUUAGACUGGGUAACUAGAGUACUUUAGGGAGGGGUAGAAUUCCACGUGUAGCGGUGAAAUGCGUAGAGAUGUGGAGGAAUACCGAUGGCGAAGGCAGCUCCCUGGCAUCAUACUGACACUGAGGUGCGAAAGCGUGGGUAGCAAACAGGAUUAGAUACCCUGGUAGUCCACGCCGUAAACGAUGUCUACCAGUCGUUGGGUCUUUUAAAGACUUAGUGACGCAGUUAACGCAAUAAGUAGACCGCCUGGGGAGUACGGCCGCAAGGUUA
This 549-nucleotide ribosomal RNA is filed under the name uncultured bacterium. Its description in RNAcentral is "bacterial SSU rRNA". It matches the Rfam family "Bacterial small subunit ribosomal RNA", at positions 355 to 896 of the family's 1533-position model. The record is from RNAcentral.